RNAcentral lists this ribosomal RNA (586 nucleotides) under uncultured bacterium. Its description in RNAcentral is "partial 16S ribosomal RNA". It matches the Rfam family "Bacterial small subunit ribosomal RNA", at positions 355 to 1375 of the family's 1533-position model. The record is from RNAcentral.
UGGGGAAUUUUGGACAAUGGGCGAAAGCCUGAUCCAGCAAUGCCGCGUGUGUGAAGAAGGCCUUCGGGUUGUAAAGCACUUUUGUCCGGAAAGAAAUCCUUGGCUCUAAUACAGUCGGGGGAUGACGGUACCGGAAGAAUAAGCACCGGCUAACUACGCGCCAGCAGCCGCGGUAAUACGUAGGGUGCAAGCGUUAAUCGGAAUUACUGGGCGUAAAGCGUGCGCAGGCGGUUUGCUAAGACCGAUGUGAAAUCCCCGGGCUCAACCUGGGAACUGCAUUGGUGACUGGCAGGCUAGAGUAUGGCAGAGGGGGGUAGAAUUCCACGUGUAGCAGUGAAAUGCGUAGAGAUGUGGAGGAAUACCGAUGGCGAAGGCAGCCCCCUGGGCCAAUACUGACGCUCAUGCACGAAAGCGUGAGGAGCAAACAGGAUUAGAUACCCUGGUAGUCCACGCCCUAAACGAUGUCAACUAGUUGUUGGGGAUUCAUUUUCCUUAGUAACGUAGCUAACGCGUGAAGUUGACCGCCUGGGGAGUACGGUCGCAAGAUUAAAACUUAAAUGAAUUGACGGGGUCAUAGCUGUUUCCU